This is a non-coding RNA of Odocoileus virginianus texanus, 1705 nucleotides long. NCBI's taxonomy places the organism in Eukaryota, Metazoa, Chordata, Mammalia, Artiodactyla, Cervidae. The record is from RefSeq and is a predicted model, not a curated record.
AUUAAUGUGAGGAAAGUGAGUAAGAAUUUUCCUGAGUUUGGUUGCUGGUUCAAUUGAGUUUGAGCAUUGAGUUGGGGUCAUGGGAAGUUCGACUUUCAGUCACUUGCUCAGAAGCAUGGUAACUGGAGACCACAUGGCUGACAUCUGAAGUCGGGACAGUCUAUUGAUACCUCAACCUGCAGUUUCGGCACUAACUCUACAGAUAUGGUAUCAGAAAUCAAAUGACAGUUGGGUUCUGGGGAUUGGAUGGUGUUGUGGAGAAAACAUGUAUUUGAGGUCAGGUAAAAAUCCAACUCACCCUCUGAUGUGAGGGCUCAGGUGUGGCUUGGGGAGAGGUGAGUAUUAAAAGCAGAACACUGUACCCAGAAAGUCUUACCAGUUAUCUGUUUUUUGGAGUUCCUGUCAGAAUCAAUAAUGUAUCAAAUGAGUUAUGACAUGACAGUAUCUUAUCCUGACCAGGCCACCCACAUGCUUAUAACCUGGGGCAAGUCAUUUGAUGUUUCCUCAUCUGAACAGGGGAAACAUGCUACAUGAGCUCUUCAAGUAGAUGAUGAGUUAUGACUAGGAAGAGUUUGUUCACAUGUCAUGACCAGAUUUGUCCAUUUUGCACCACAAUGUGUUAAUCUGAAGAAAAAUUCUCUACCUAGUUGCUGUGGCCAAGUAAAACUAUUUCCUUAUCAAAUAAUAUUUAUUCCUGUAUUAUUAAAAGUAAUGAAAAGAUGUCAAGCCAUGGAGGAGGGCAAUGGCAGGGAAAGCAAGAAACAGCCCUUGUAUGGUAGGCUGUCAGAUCAAGGCUGAUACAGUAUUACGAAGUCUCCAGACUCUUUCCCUCGUUGUCUUUUGGCUGCUAUUUUCUUAUUCAUGUUUGAUCCUUUUCCUGUUUCAUGAAGCAGGCCUCCUGAAACUCUUGAAGUUUACUCUCUCUUAUAGGUCAGGUGAUGAUUUCCAGAGCACAACUCGAUAACCAUACAAGAGAAAUUCCCAACGCUCAUUUCUCAAUACUCAACACUCAAUGAGGACAAUAAAGCAGCUUCUAAGCCUACCUUCUGCCUGGAGCCUAAAUUAACAGGUGGCUGCAAUGCCAUGAUGACCAGGAGGUAUGUCUACAACACUCAACCAGACUCUGCGAGCAGUUUAUGUAUGGUGGCUGCAAAGGUAAUGAAAACAACUUUGAAAAGUUAGAGGACUGCGUAAAGACCUGCUCUCAAGAAGCAAGGUCCUCGUGAGGACAUGUGAAGAGUGGUUUCCAGAAACUCUGAAGUCUGAGGAGGACUCUUUCAGGUCUGGACUGUGGCUGCAUCUGAACCUCUUCAGUCUCCUCAAAGUCCUCUCUGCUACCGUCCUCAGCAGAGCCUGCCUGUUUCCUUUCCCCUUUUGGUCAACAUGUCUCAUUCUGUCUCAUCUAGUUGACUCUCAGCACCACGAGAGCUUGUCUGCCCUUUACCCCUACCACUUCACACAGCUCCUGGAAACAAUGAGACAGUUCAUAAUUAUUUGAGGAUGGAAGGAAGGAAUGUAUGAGCACAUUCCUCAUGAUCAGAUUAACUGCAAGGUUGCAGUGUUAACACAGGGGUUUUGUUUUACCCCCAUCCUCACAGCAUCCUCAGCUUUAUCACCUUUCCCAGCACCUCUACUCUCCUUGUGGGUGCCCAUGGUGGAAUUUCCAGCAACUAGUUCUCAGCAUCAGUAAUGGGAGAAUAGUUUG